GGGUUUCUAAUGUAUAUAAAGAGCAUAUCUUCUUUGCGAGAAGACAGAUUUAGAUCCA
Molecule: transfer RNA, 58 nt
Filed under: Trichuris sp. 2 ARS-2017
Lineage: Eukaryota; Metazoa; Nematoda; Enoplea; Trichinellida; Trichuridae
Description: tRNA-Ala
Source: RNAcentral